RNAcentral lists this ribosomal RNA (408 nucleotides) under Poecilus cupreus. Its description in RNAcentral is "SSU rRNA". It matches the Rfam family "Eukaryotic small subunit ribosomal RNA", at positions 1172 to 1489 of the family's 1831-position model. Lineage: Eukaryota; Metazoa; Arthropoda; Insecta; Coleoptera; Carabidae. The record is from RNAcentral.
AGGACUGGAGCCUGCGGCUUAAUUUGACUCAACACGGGAAACCUCACCAGGCCCAGACACUGGAAGGAUUGACAGAUUGAGAGCUCUUUCUUGAUUCAGUGGGUGGUGGUGCAUGGCCGUUCUUAGUUGGUGGAGCGAUUUGUCUGGUUAAUUCCGAUAACGAACGAGACUCUAGCCUACUAAAUAGACGUUACACUUUCCAGUAUCUCGAAGGCUCACAUCUCACGUUUCUUUGCUACAUUCAUUCAGCCAGCAUUUCGGUGUUUGGUUGGUGUUGUGGUUAUUGAUCGGGAGUUUGUGGUUUUUACUACUGGCGUACAUAUAAAUCUUCUUAGAGGGACAGGCGGCUUCUAGCCGCACGAGAUUGAGCAAUAACAGGUCUGUGAUGCCCUUAGAUGUUCUGGGCCG